GACGAACGCUGGCGGCGUGCUUAACACAUGCAAGUCGAGCGGUAAGGCCCUUUCGGGGGUACACGAGCGGCGAACGGGUGAGUAACACGUGGGUGACCUGCCCUUAGCUCUGGGAUAAGCCUGGGAAACUGGGUCUAAUACCGGAUAUGACUCCAUGACGCAUGUUGUGGGGUGGAAAGCCUUGUGCGGCUAGGGAUGGGCCCGCGGCCUAUCAGCUUGUUGGUGGGGUGAUGGCCUACCAAGGCGACGACGGGUAGCCGGCCUGAGAGGGCGACCGGCCACACUGGGACUGAGACACGGCCCAGACUCCUACGGGAGGCAGCAGUGGGGAAUCUUGCGCAAUGGGCGAAAGCCUGACGCAGCGACGCCGCGUGGGGAUGACGG
Molecule: ribosomal RNA, 384 nt
Filed under: uncultured bacterium
Lineage: Bacteria
Description: bacterial SSU rRNA
Rfam family: Bacterial small subunit ribosomal RNA
Source: RNAcentral